Molecule: ribosomal RNA, 468 nt
Filed under: uncultured bacterium
Lineage: Bacteria
Description: partial 16S ribosomal RNA
Rfam family: Bacterial small subunit ribosomal RNA
Source: RNAcentral
GACGAACGCUGGCGGCGUGCUUAACACAUGCAAGUCGAACGGAAAGGCCCUGCUUUUGUGGGGUGCUCGAUUGGCGAACGGGUGAGUAACACGUGAGUAACCUGCCCUUGACUUUGGGAUAACUUCAGGAAACUGGGGCUAAUACCGGAUAGGAGCUCCUGCUGCAUGGUGGUGGUUGGAAAGUUUCGGCGGUUGGGGAUGGACUCGCGGCUUAUCAGCUUGUUGGUGGGGUAGUGGCUUACCAAGGCUUUGACGGGUAGCCGGCCUGAGAGGGUGACCGGGGACAAUGGGACUGAGAUACGGCACAGACGGCAACGGGAGGCAGCAGUGGGGAAUAUUGCACAAUGGGCGGAAGCCUGAUGCAGAAAAGCAGCGUGCGGGAUGACGGCCUUCGGGUUGUAAACCGAUUUAGCAUGUGACGAAGAGUGAGUGACGGUAAUGGGUAAAGAAGCACCGGCUAACUACGUG